GUGCUCACUUUGGUAGCACAUAUACUAAAAUUGGAAUAAUACAUAGAAGAUUAGCAUGGCUUCUGCUCAAGGAUGACACUCACAUUUGCAAAGCAUUCCAUAUUUUG
Cuculus canorus (common cuckoo) is the source of this 107-nucleotide small nuclear RNA. The record is from Rfam. Lineage: Eukaryota; Metazoa; Chordata; Aves; Cuculiformes; Cuculidae.